AGUGAACGCUGGCGGUAGGCCUAACACAUGCAAGUCGAACGGCAGCACAGUAAGAGCUUGCUCUUACGGGUGGCGAGUGGCGGACGGGGGAGGAAUACAUCGGAAUCUACUUUUUCGUGGGGGAUAACGUAGGGAAACUUACGCUAAUACCGCAUACGACCUACGGGUGAAAGCAGGGGAGCUUCGGACCUUGCGCGAUUGAAUGAGCCGAUGUCGGAUUAGCUAGUUGGCGGGGUAAAGGCCCACCAAGGCGACGAUCCGUAGCUGGUCUGAGAGGAUGAUCAGCCACACUGGAACUGAGACACGGUCCAGACUCCUACGGGAGGCAGCAGUGGGGAAUAUUGGACAAUGGGCGCAAGCCUGAUCCAGCCAUACCGCGUGUGUGAAGAAGGUCUUCGGGUUGUAAAGCCCUUUUGUUGGGGAAGAAAAGCAGCAGGUUAAUACCUCGCUGUUCUGACGGUACCCAAAGAAUAAGCACCGGCUAACUUCGUG
Molecule: ribosomal RNA, 492 nt
Filed under: uncultured bacterium
Lineage: Bacteria
Description: partial 16S ribosomal RNA
Rfam family: Bacterial small subunit ribosomal RNA
Source: RNAcentral